GCACAUGGUCGGUAUUGCAGUUUCUAGCCAAGGUGUGCUCUAUUUGCGAAAACCCAGACGUUCCAUGCAUUUUGUGGCCACAAAUUUUAAUAUUGUCACAAUUUAGUAUUUUGUGGCCAUGUUUUAACCCCAAUAUCCUGUCUAGGGCUGCGGAGUUUCCAAAUAAUCCCAGAUACCAGCAAUUUGAAAUAUCAGGUCCGCAAGCCUCUGGUUUGACACCUUUGUUCUUCAAUGACGGCUUGCAGACGCACGUAAAUAAUGAAGGCUUCAGUAAGAAACAGCUAACAGAACCUACGCGCUGUGGGGUAACCUGUGUAGCAGUGGCUCACAUUUGAGAAUUCCUGCGCGAGAAUCAACAAGAUGACGACAGACAGGAGGGGCGUCACACUCACCUGUGCUUGUCGGAGUCUUUGUAACUCGCUCAUCUUGGC
This is a long non-coding RNA of Hippocampus zosterae (dwarf seahorse), 431 nucleotides long. RefSeq lists it as uncharacterized. The record is from RefSeq and is a predicted model, not a curated record. NCBI's taxonomy places the organism in Eukaryota, Metazoa, Chordata, Actinopteri, Syngnathiformes, Syngnathidae. The transcript has 3 exons.